This 825-nucleotide long non-coding RNA is filed under the name Marmota monax (woodchuck). Lineage: Eukaryota; Metazoa; Chordata; Mammalia; Rodentia; Sciuridae. The record is from RNAcentral.
GUUAGUGCUGGCUCUGGAUGUCCCUUCAGAAAUUUCUGGAGUGAAUGCAGAAGUCUGAGGGACUCUUUGGAGGAGUCCUUUUCCCCGCCUCCUCCGCCUCCACAGUUCAAAUUUCACUAAACCUGAUUGCACCAACCCCACCCUUGUGUUUACAUUGCACUGGUCUUUUUGGCAGAAUCCAAGUCCCUGCAUAGCCAACAAGAUUUUUUUACCUUCUACACUGGCUGAAGUGGGAGGCCAGGGGGGCCCUGAGAGGGAGGCGGGGCACCCCCACUCCGGGAUGCUGCUGCAGAGCUUUCCUGGAGGAAAACUGCAGCUGACAGUCACAGACUGACAGAGCCAUAGGGUGUUUAGAAGGAAGGUAAGCAGCCUCUGUGUGUGUGUGUGUGUUUGUGUGUGUGUGUGUAUAUAUGCACGUGUGCGCUCAUGCCCACAUGUGUGUGUGUGUCUUCUGCAAGGCUCUAGUGCCUGAAACUGAGCCGUGUGCUCUCUGAGACUUGCCAGUUUGCCAAGAGAUGGUGCUGACCGGAGAUGGGGGUGCGUCCUGGAGUGUAAUAAUAAGCAGAACAGAAGCAUUAACCCUGCAUGCCCUUCAGGACUAGUCUAGGAAUGUCUUUAUUUGCAAUCUAGAAGAGUGUAACUUACGUGCUUCUUUUUGGGGAGAGUUCAGGGGUGGCCUGAUGUGGCAUGUUUGAUUUUCUGGUUGACUCCCUGACUGGCUGGCUCAGGUAAUCCUUCAUGAGGCCGAAUGGACCUCCUGUUUUUCUCUCGGGUAGGUCAGAAAGUGUUUCCCAUUUAAAAGUGUGCACAGGGAGCUGGGAUGUG